Molecule: ribosomal RNA, 460 nt
Filed under: uncultured bacterium
Lineage: Bacteria
Description: partial 16S ribosomal RNA
Rfam family: Bacterial small subunit ribosomal RNA
Source: RNAcentral
CCUACGGGUGGCAGCAGUGAGGAAUAUUGGUCAAUGGGCGGAAGCCUGAACCAGCCAAGUAGCGUGAAGGAUGACGGCCCUACGGGUUGUAAACUGCUUUUAUACGGGAAUAAAGCUCAGUAUGUGUAGUGUUUUGUAUGUACCGUAUGAAUAAGGAUCGGCUAACUCCGUGCCAGCAGCUGCGGUAAUACGGAGGGUCCGGGCGUUAUCCGGAUUUAUUGGGUUUAAAGGGAGCGUAGGCGGAAUGUUAAGUGAGCUGUGAAAUGUUCCGGCUCAACCCGGGCAUUGCAGUGGAUACUGGCGUGCUUGAGUGCAGGGAAGGCAGGCGGAAUUCGUGGUGUAGCGGUGAAAUGCUUAGAUAUGACGAAGAACCCCGAUUGCGAAGGCAGCUUGCUGGAGCGGAACUGACGCUGAUGCUCGAAAGCGCGGGUAUCGAACAGGAUUAGAUACCCGAGUAGUC